RNAcentral lists this ribosomal RNA (107 nucleotides) under Octodon degus (degu). Lineage: Eukaryota; Metazoa; Chordata; Mammalia; Rodentia; Octodontidae. The record is from RNAcentral.
GUCUAUGGCCUUACCACGCUGAGUGUGUCAGAUCUCAUCUGGUCUCAGGCUAGGCAGAGCGAGGUUUUGUUAGUAUUUGGAAGACAGAAUUAAAAUACCUGUAGCUG